Molecule: unclassified non-coding RNA, 507 nt
Filed under: Hevea brasiliensis (rubber tree)
Lineage: Eukaryota; Viridiplantae; Streptophyta; Magnoliopsida; Malpighiales; Euphorbiaceae
Source: RNAcentral
AACCCUAGCAAGUGAGAAAUCUCACUCCAUAAGAGGUUAGUGACCAAAACCUUAAAUUUAAAUUCAAUUCCAUGUUUAAGCAUUAUAUUGGUGAUUAAAUGACAAAGAAACUUGAUGAAAGACAUUGGUAUGCCAUCCCUUAUUUUUGGCAGCCAUGGUUAGGGUUUGAUGGUGUUGAGUUUAAUGAAGUUAAAAGGGUAUUGGGGCUGCCCACAAUGUGUAUUUGCUAAGUAGAUUGAAGAAAUAAAGUGAAAAUGCAAGUUUGAUAAUGUUGAGUUAGGGUUUGUAGGGGGGAAAAUGAGACUUUGAUCUUGUGAUGAUAGAAGUAGGUUUUAAUGGUCAAUUAGUGAUCAUUUGGUUUGGUCUGAACCAGAAAUGAAGUGAAUUGGGUUGUGGGAUUUGAGGUUGGAGUGGCUGCCUUGGGUGACCUGCAGGUGUGGCUGUGAGUCCAGCCUGUUUGGACAGCCAUAACUUGAAUUGUAGAGGUUCAAUUGGUGCAAGGCCAAU